GACGAACGCUGGCGGCGUGCCUAAUACAUGCAAGUAGAACGCUGAAGCGAGGAGCUUGCUCUUCUUGGAUGAGUUGCGAACGGGUGAGUAACGCGUAGGUAACCUGCCUUGUAGCGGGGGAUAACUAUUGGAAACGAUAGCUAAUACCGCAUAACAAUGGAUGACACAUGUCAUUUAUUUGAAAGGGGCAAUUGCUCCACUACAAGAUGGACCUGCGUUGUAUUAGCUAGUAGGUGAGGUAAUGGCUCACCUAGGCGACGAUACAUAGCCGACCUGAGAGGGUGAUCGGCCACACUGGGACUGAGACACGGCCCAGACUCCUAAGGGAGGCAGCAGUAGGGAAUCUUCGGCAAUGGGGGCAACCCUGACCGAGCAACGCCGCGUGAGUGAAGAAGGUUUUCGGAUCGUAAAGCUCUGUUGUAAGUCAAGAACGGGUGUGAGAGUGGAAAGUUCACACUGUGACGGUAGCUUACCAGAAAGGGACGGCUAACUACGUG
This 497-nucleotide ribosomal RNA is filed under the name uncultured bacterium. Its description in RNAcentral is "partial 16S ribosomal RNA". It matches the Rfam family "Bacterial small subunit ribosomal RNA", at positions 28 to 507 of the family's 1533-position model. The record is from RNAcentral.